UGGGGAAUAUUGGACAAUGGGCGCAAGCCUGAUCCAGCCAUGCCGCGUGAGUGACGAAGGCCUUAGGGUUGUAAAGCUCUUUUUGGCGGGGAAGAUAAUGACGGUACCCGCAGAAUAAGCUCCGGCUAACUUCGUGCCAGCAGCCGCGGUAAUACGAAGGGAGCUAGCGUUGUUCGGAAUCACUGGGCGUAAAGCGCACGUAGGUGGGCAGUUAAGUCAGGGGUGAAAGCCCGAGGCUCAACCUCGGAAUUGCCUCUGAUACUGGCUGUCUAGAGUUCGAGAGAGGUGAGUGGAAUUCCUAGUGUAGAGGUGAAAUUCGUAGAUAUUAGGAAGAACACCGGUGGCGAAGGCGGCUCACUGGCUCGAUACUGACACUGAGGUGCGAAAGCGUGGGGAGCAAACAGGAUUAGAUACCCACGUAGUCCCUGAGCGGGCUGGCAAGGCGCAU
RNAcentral lists this ribosomal RNA (448 nucleotides) under uncultured bacterium. RNAcentral describes it as "bacterial SSU rRNA". It matches the Rfam family "Bacterial small subunit ribosomal RNA", at positions 355 to 825 of the family's 1533-position model. The record is from RNAcentral.